GUCGCACGAGUUCAGACUCGUGGCGAAUAGCUCAGUAACACGUGGCCAAACUACCCUUCGGAACACAAUACCCUCGGGAAACUGAGGCUAAUAGUGUAUACCGUACCACCACUGGAAUGAGUGGUACGCCAAACGCUCCGGCGCCGAAGGAUGUGGCUGCGGCCGAUUAGGUAGACGGUGGGGUAACGGCCCACCGUGCCAAUAAUCGGUAUGGGUCAUGAGAGUGAGAACCCAGAGACGGAAUCUGAGACAAGAUUCCGGGCCCUACGGGGCGCAGCAGGCGCGAAACCUUUACACUGCACGACAGUGCGAUAGGGGGAUCCCAAGUGCACAGGCAUAGCGCCUGUGCUUUUCGGUACCCUAAGGCGGUACCAGAAUAAGGGCUGGGCAAGACCGGUGCCAGCCGCCGCGGUAAUACCGGCAGCCCAAGUGAUGGCCGAUCUUAUUGGGCCUAAAGCGUCCGUAGCUGGCCGCGCAAGUCCAUCGGGAAAUCCACCUGCUCAACAGGUGGGCGCCCGGUAGAAACUGCGUGGCUUGGGACCGGAAGGCGCGACGGGUACGUCCGGGGUAGGAGUGAAAUCCCGUAAU
This 588-nucleotide ribosomal RNA is filed under the name Halorubrum ezzemoulense. RNAcentral's name for it is "bacterial SSU rRNA". It matches the Rfam family "Archaeal small subunit ribosomal RNA", at positions 57 to 646 of the family's 1478-position model. Lineage: Archaea; Methanobacteriati; Methanobacteriota; Halobacteria; Halobacteriales; Haloferacaceae. The record is from RNAcentral.